AAAAAAUUUAAGGAGAAUUGUUUUCUAUUUUUGAAACACUUUUUGGAACUAAUUCGUCAGCUAAUUUUUUUAUUGAUACUUAAAAUAAUGAAUCACCUAAUGCAAAAAAUCUUGGAGCUGUAUUUUCUUUUGUCUUUCUGGAUAGUUCUCCUAGACUUUCUUAUUUGCAUUCACCGACGGAAAAUCGUCACUACGUAUUCUGACAAAUUACACAUUAAG
Molecule: long non-coding RNA, 219 nt
Organism: Physella acuta
Lineage: Eukaryota; Metazoa; Mollusca; Gastropoda; Physidae
Source: RefSeq, a predicted model, not a curated record